AAGGAUCAUUAAGACGUUUGGGGAUGCCGCUGUGCACUCUAUCGCCUUCAUUCACUCUGAGUAUGUGUCCUGUUGCUUCCGUGGGGUUUGAAGAUAUGCGCCUGCCAGUGUCGUGUUUUGCCCUUGCCGAUGAAGGCGACCCUGCGGAAGGGAAGCGUCAAACUCCUUUGUUGUACCAAUGGUGUUUGUUCGGUCUGAGCAUGGUUUGAGGAAAAAUGUUAAAACUUUCAGCAACGGAUCUCUUGGUUCUC
This 251-nucleotide unclassified non-coding RNA is filed under the name uncultured fungus. RNAcentral's name for it is "partial contains 18S rRNA, ITS1, 5.8S rRNA, ITS2 and 28S rRNA". The record is from RNAcentral. Lineage: Eukaryota; Fungi.